GACGAACGCUGGCGGCGUGCCUAAUACAUGCAAGUAGAACGCUGAAGGAGGAGCUUGCUUCUCUGGAUGAGUUGCGAACGGGUGAGUAACGCGUAGGUAACCUGCCUGGUAGCGGGGGAUAACUAUUGGAAACGAUAGCUAAUACCGCAUAAUAGUAGAUGUUGCAUGACAUUUGCUUAAAAGGUGCAAUUGCAUCACUACCAGAUGGACCUGCGUUGUAUUAGCUAGUUGGUGGGGUAACGGCUCACCAAGGCGACGAUACAUAGCCGACCUGAGAGGGGGAUCGGCCACACUGGGACUGAGACACGGCCCAGACUCCUAGGGGAGGCAGCAGUAGGGAAUCUUCGGGAAUGGAAGGAAGUCUGACCGAGCAACGCCGCGUGAGUGAAGAAGGUUUUCGGAUCGUAAAGCUCUGUUGUAAGAGAAGAACGAGUGUGAGAGUGGAAAGUUCACACUGUGACGGUAUCUUACCAGAAAGGGACGGCUAACUACGUG
This 495-nucleotide ribosomal RNA is filed under the name uncultured bacterium. Its description in RNAcentral is "partial 16S ribosomal RNA". It matches the Rfam family "Bacterial small subunit ribosomal RNA", at positions 28 to 507 of the family's 1533-position model. The record is from RNAcentral.